Mauremys reevesii (Reeves's turtle) is the source of this 741-nucleotide long non-coding RNA. RefSeq lists it as uncharacterized. NCBI's taxonomy places the organism in Eukaryota, Metazoa, Chordata, Testudines, Geoemydidae. The transcript has 3 exons. The record is from RefSeq and is a predicted model, not a curated record.
GGCACUGCAACCCUCAUGCACCAGGUCGGAACAUCACUUACUCAGUUUUAGGUGUGCCAGGCUGCCCUACCCCUCAUCAAGAUGGAGGGGCCGCUGGACCAAAUCUGAGUGGGCACUGUGGUUGCCAGUGAUGCUGCUCCUCACUGCUGCCACAGGGCCAGCCCCUAUACCAAAGCUCCACACACACCCCACCACAGGGGUUCUCCUCAGCUUUGUCCCACUUCCAGCAGCCCAUGUCCUCUCUGCUCUGCCUACAGGACUCACUCAUAAACAUCCUCAAGACCUGCCUCAGGUAUGGGGAGGUGAGGUGAGUGCCUGCGUGGGGGAGCCAGAGGGGCAGCAGAGAGCCCUGGAGGGAAGUGAGCAUGAGGAGGUUUUGCCUAGGGCCCAGAGAUGGAUGUCGACCCAUGGCACGCAGAGCUCCAGAUGGACUGCAGGCUACCUGAUGAGCCCGGAGAAGAGAAUGCACCAGCAGGAGCUAUGCUACCCGAGGAUCCCAGAGACCCGGGGGAACUGUGGAGCAUCACCAAGGGAGAAAGGGUUCCAGGCAGUUCCUUACCAACCCAUUUACUGCGGCUCUGACACCAGGGUGAUAGCCACACUUCAAGUCCUGAGCUGCCUCCAAGAGCAGACUUAACCCUUAUUCCUCCAUGAACAAUGCACAGUACAGAGGGAAACUUAUGCACACAUAGGACUCAAAAAUAUUACAGAAAAUUCCCACUUUGUCACACCAUGUGAGGU